Long non-coding RNA from Phascolarctos cinereus (koala), 447 nucleotides. RefSeq lists it as uncharacterized. The record is from RefSeq and is a predicted model, not a curated record. Lineage: Eukaryota; Metazoa; Chordata; Mammalia; Diprotodontia; Phascolarctidae.
CCUGCGGGGCGCUCCGUGGCUGCCGCCUCCAUCCCUCUGCGGCUCCCGCUGCUGGGCUGGCUGGUCCGUUGGCGCCGAGUAACCAAAAUAGUGCUUUGCUGUGAAACAGGAUAUUACAGUGGGGAGAAAAAUCAAACAUCCUUGGAGUCAGAAGACUGGCUCAGAGUCCUGACUCUGGAGCCAACUAGCUGUCACUUUUGGGCUUCUCUCAGGUGGAUUCUUACUUCUCAGAGAAAAUAUUUUCACUGGAAAUGAAAGCAUCUACAGAAACCUUUGGCAUGGGUAAUGGGCUUGGCCAGAAGACAACUCAGAGCUCUGGAGUGUUACUUUCAGUUUUCUUUCCUGCUUUCAAAAAUCACCACCUGAAGCCAUGUCUUCUCCAUAUCCCAAAACAGCUGGAGAAACAGAAUGAAUGGUUACUGAAAUAAAUGCUUAAGGCAGGGAGUC